GGCUGCGUAGCUCAGUUGGUUAGGCACAUCACUCAUAAUGAUGGGGUCACAGGUUCGGGGCGCAUCCGUCGUAGCCACCA
Molecule: transfer RNA, 80 nt
Filed under: Salmonella enterica subsp. enterica
Lineage: Bacteria; Pseudomonadati; Pseudomonadota; Gammaproteobacteria; Enterobacterales; Enterobacteriaceae
Description: tRNA-Met
Rfam family: tRNA
About the family: Transfer RNA (tRNA) molecules are approximately 80 nucleotides in length. Their secondary structure includes four short double-helical elements and three loops (D, anti-codon, and T loops).
Source: RNAcentral